Molecule: ribosomal RNA, 253 nt
Filed under: uncultured bacterium
Lineage: Bacteria
Description: partial 16S ribosomal RNA
Rfam family: Archaeal small subunit ribosomal RNA
Source: RNAcentral
UACCAGCACCCCGAGUGGUCGGGACGUUUAUUGGGCCUAAAGCAUCCGUAGCCGGUUCUACAAGUCUUCCGUUAAAUCCAACUGCUUAACAGGUGGGCUGCGGAAGAUACUAUAGAGCUAGGAGGCGGGAGAGGCAAGCGGUACUCGAUGGGUAGGGGUAAAAUCCGUUGAUCCAUUGAAGACCACCAGUGGCGAAGGCGGCUUGCCAGAACGCGCUCGACGGUGAGGGAUGAAAGCUGGGGGAGCAAAUGGG